This 490-nucleotide ribosomal RNA is filed under the name uncultured bacterium. RNAcentral describes it as "partial 16S ribosomal RNA". It matches the Rfam family "Bacterial small subunit ribosomal RNA", at positions 30 to 507 of the family's 1533-position model. The record is from RNAcentral.
AUUGAACGCUGGCGGCAGGCCUAACACAUGCAAGUCGAACGGUAACAGGAAACAGCUUGCUGUUUCGCUGACGAGUGGCGGACGGGUGAGUAAUGUCUGGGAAACUGCCUGAUGGAGGGGGAUAACUACUGGAAACGGUAGCUAAUACCGCAUAACGUCGCAAGACCAAAGAGGGGGACCUUCGGGCCUCUUGCCAUCAGAUGUGCCCAGAUGGGAUUAGCUAGUAGGUGGGGUAACGGCUCACCUAGGCGACGAUCCCUAGCUGGUCUGAGAGGAUGACCAGCCACACUGGAACUGAGACACGGUCCAGACUCCUACGGGAGGCAGCAGUGGGGAAUAUUGCACAAUGGGCGCAAGCCUGAUGCAGCCAUGCCGCGUGUAUGAAGAAGGCCUUCGGGUUGUAAAGUACUUUCAGCGGGGAGGAAGGGAGUAAAGUUAAUACCUUUGCUCAUUGACGUUACCCGCAGAAGAAGCACCGGCUAACUCCGUA